GCCGUUCGAGUUGUGCGUGCUCGCGGGCGCGGCGGGCGGCAGCGCGAUCGGGAUGAUCGCGGGGCUUCCCGCGCUGCGCCUGCGCGGCCUCUAUCUCGCGCUCGUCACGCUGAUGAUGGCGGGCGGGUUUCAGGUGGUCGUGUCCGCCAUCGGCUUUCCCGACGGCGGCGGCGGCUUCACCGGCCAUUUGUCGUUCGGCGCGCGGCAGAUGAUGGCGCGGCCGCUCGUCGGCCAGAGCGAUGCGGCGUAUUUCCGCUACGUCGCCGCGUGGGCCGCGCUCGCGUUCGCGCUGAUCGAGCUGCAUCGGCGCUCGAAAGCGGGGCGCUCGUGGGCGCUGAUCCGGCGCGGCGAGAUGCCGGCGCUCGCCGCGGGCGUGAACGUCGUGCUCUACCAAACCUGGGCGUUCGGGCUCGCGGGCCUGCUCGCGGGGCUCUCGGGCGGCCUGCUCGCGGGCUCGGUCGGCCAGCUCGACGGGCGCGCGUUCGCCGCGUCCGAAUCGGUGCUGCUGUUCGCGCUGUCGGUGGUCGGCGGCGUCUAUCACUGGUUCGGCGCGCUGAUCACCGGGCUGCUGCUGCGCGCGGUGCCCGCGCUCCUGACCGAUUUCGGCGUGAACGGUUAUCUCGCGAUGAUCUUCUUCGGCGCGGCGCUGCUGCAUGCGCUCGUCACGGCGCCCGCCGGCAUCGCCGGGCAGCUUGCCGGGCUCGCGUCGCGGGUCGGGCGCGCGUUUCGCGCCCGCGACGGAGGCGCGCGAUGAUCGAAAUCUCGAACCUGACCGUGCAAUUCGGCGGCACGCGCGUGCUCGACGCGCUCGACGCGAAGCUCGCCGCGCCCAUAUGCGGGCUGAUCGGCCCGAACGGCGCGGGCAAGACGACGCUGCUGAACGUACUGAGCGGCUUCUUGCGGCCGCGCGCGGGCAGCGUCGCGCUGGACGGCCGCGCGCUGCUCGCGCUGUCCGUCGCCGAGCGCGUGCGCGCGGGCGUGCGGCGCACGUUCCAGACCGAACAGAUCGUCGAGGAUCUGAGCGUGCACGACAACGUGCUCGCGCUCGCCGAGCACGUGAUGCCGGCUCUCGCCGCGCGCGACGACACGCGGCGCGCGCUCGAACUCGUCGGCCUCGCCGACGUCGCGCACGUGCAGGGCGCGGCGCUCAACCUGUAUCAGCGCCGCAUGCUGGAACUCGGCAAGGCGCUCGUCGGCGCGCCGCGCCUGCUGCUGCUCGACGAGCCGGGCGCGGGCCUGAACGAGACCGAAGCCGCGCGGCUCGCCGACGUGAUCGUUCGCAUUCCCGAAUGCGUCGGCGCGCAGGUGCUGCUGAUCGAUCACGACGUCGAGCUGAUCGAUGCCGUGUGCGAGGCGACGCUCGUGCUCGAUUUCGGCAAGCGGCUCGCGCUCGGGCCCACGCGCGCGGUG
Molecule: ribosomal RNA, 1410 nt
Filed under: Burkholderia mallei 2002721280
Lineage: Bacteria; Pseudomonadati; Pseudomonadota; Betaproteobacteria; Burkholderiales; Burkholderiaceae
Description: 16S ribosomal RNA
Source: RNAcentral